ACCUCCUUCUUUUACGGGUGGGGUCCACGCAAAGGGACUCUCAGACCCUGAUGGACCGGAGGGCCUUCCUCCAGGGGGCGCUGUUGUUGCUGCACACCGUCAGACUGAGCUUGGACGGAGGAUGUGAGGAGGAAGGUGGCCAAGGUGCGCACACAAGAAUGAGCAACACGAUGUGCAUGGAGGGAGAAAGUGUGACAAAAACGGUCACAGACGCAUGAUGAAUGGACAAAAAGUUUUCCACAGACGUACACGUAGGGUGGAACCAAUUGCCUAAUUCUUCCAAUUUUUGUACUUCCUGUCUGGUGACCCAAUACUUUUGUCCUGAUGUAAAAGUCAGCCAAAGCUUGUGGGUGGGUGUGGGGCUCGCUAUUGUUUUGCUGCCACAAUGUUGCUGUCCUUCACUUUCCUUCCUUCCUUCCUAAGCUGGCGGGUUACCAUAGCGACAGCCAGUCGUGAGGCGUCAGGGCCCUCGAGGCGUUCUCCGCCGGCCUCGACACUAUCUGAAGCAAUGAUGUACAUUUACGACCGAAAUCACAUUUUUUGGUCCAUUAAAUUAUUUUAAUUUAUUCCCAGCAAUGAAUUUUUUUUCAUUUCGUAGCAUUUCUCUUGGCUGCACUGUUCCAGUACGGCGUCCAGUAUGUAUAUAUGGAUGUUGGAAAAAAAGUUGGAAUUUUUACAGGUAAAAAGGUCACCAUAUGGAAAUCAAGCUGUAAACAGAUUAAAAGCAAGAAUUUUAACACAUUCACUGCCAUUGACGGCUUUAGAAGUCAAAUAUCCAUGUUAACUGGGAAGGCUGGCAGUGAAUGAGUUAA
Long non-coding RNA from Phyllopteryx taeniolatus (common seadragon), 812 nucleotides. RefSeq lists it as uncharacterized. The record is from RefSeq and is a predicted model, not a curated record. NCBI's taxonomy places the organism in Eukaryota, Metazoa, Chordata, Actinopteri, Syngnathiformes, Syngnathidae. The transcript is spliced from 3 exons.